AAACUAACAAGGUUCCCCUAAGUAGCGGCGAGCGAAGCGGGAAGAGCUCAAAUUUAUAAUCUGGCACCUUCGGUGUCCGAGUUGUAAUCUCUAGAAGUGUUUUCCGCGUUGGACCGCACACAAGUCUGUUGGAAUACAGCGGCAUAGUGGUGAAACCCCCGUAUAUGGUGCGGACGCCCAGCGCUUUGUGAUACACUUUCAAUGAGUCGAGUUGUUUGGGAAUGCAGCUCAAAUUGGGUGGUAAAUUCCAUCUAAAGCUAAAUAUUGGCGAGAGACCGAUAGCGAACAAGUACCGUGAGGGAAAGAUGAAAAGCACUUUUGGAAAGAGAGUUAACAGUACGUGAAAUUGUUGGAAGGGAAACGCUUGAAGUCAGACUUGCUUGCCGGAGCUUGCUUCGGUUUGCAGGGCCAGCAUCAGUUUUCCGGGGUGGAUAAUGACGGUUUGAAGGUAGCAGUCUCGGGCUGUGUUAUAGCUUUCCGUUGGAUACAUCCUGGGGGACUGAGGAACGCAGCGUGCUUUUUGCGAAAGACUCGUCUUUUUCACGCUUAGAUGCUGGUGGAAUGGCUUUAAACGACCCGUCUUGAAACACGGACAAGGAGUCUAACAUGCUCGCGAGUAUUUGGGUGUCAAACCGGGAUGC
This 641-nucleotide ribosomal RNA is filed under the name Rhodotorula babjevae. RNAcentral's name for it is "eukaryotic LSU rRNA". It matches the Rfam family "Eukaryotic large subunit ribosomal RNA", at positions 62 to 715 of the family's 3401-position model. The record is from RNAcentral. Lineage: Eukaryota; Fungi; Basidiomycota; Microbotryomycetes; Sporidiobolales; Sporidiobolaceae.